This 146-nucleotide ribosomal RNA is filed under the name Isonychia valida. RNAcentral's name for it is "partial 12S ribosomal RNA". Lineage: Eukaryota; Metazoa; Arthropoda; Insecta; Ephemeroptera; Isonychiidae. The record is from RNAcentral.
CACGAAAGGGGUAAGAGAGCAUUGUUGGCUUAGCAGUUAAUUAUUUGGAGAGUAGGUGUAAAUUUCAAUUUGUUAGGUGAAAUUUUAAAUUGUGCUAAUGCCUGACAAUAAAUUCAAUGAGGCUGUGAAAGUUAGAGGAGAAACUG